UAAAAUUAAUAUACCUCUAAA
This 21-nucleotide non-coding RNA is filed under the name Caenorhabditis elegans. The record is from RNAcentral. Lineage: Eukaryota; Metazoa; Nematoda; Chromadorea; Rhabditida; Rhabditidae.